The sequence is a ribosomal RNA, 340 nucleotides long. It matches the Rfam family "Microsporidia small subunit ribosomal RNA", at positions 752 to 1210 of the family's 1311-position model.
UGGAUAGUAUUAUUAAUGAAAUUUAACGGAUUUGGCGGCAAGAUAGCCACUUAGAGGAACCUGCCCUGUAAACGAUGAGCCACGAUUAACCUUACUUUUACUAGAAUCCAGUUUGUAUACCGCUGUUGUCAGUUAGUUUCUUUAGAAAACUUUCGUACAUGAUAAAUUCAAUGACUUCAAGUAAAGGUGCAGCUUAUGUAAAAGAUAGAGGUGGGUUACAAUUAAAAGGAUAAUAUGGAUAAAGUAAAGAAAAAACUUUUGAAGGUGGAUUUAAUAGUAAAGUUUAAUAAGACUUGAUUAGAGCUCUAUCUUGUGUACACACCGCCCGUCGCUCGCGGGA